AUGGCCCUCCAUGGGUCAAUUGCUCCUCACCUCGGUAACCUCUCUUUCCUCUCUGUCCUCAAUCUCACCAAUACCAACCUCACCGGCUCCAUCCCAGCCGACCUUGGCGGGCUACGUCGCCUUAGGUACCUCAUUCUCAGUCGGAAUAGCCUAUCAAAUACCAUUCCUCCCGCCCUAGGGAACCUCUCGAGGCUCGUGUCUCUUGAUCUAGGUCACAACCAACUCUCCGGCCAGAUCCCUCCCGAGCUCCUGCUGCGUUUGCACAACCUUGGGAAAAUUGUUCUAACCCGAAAUAACUUGAGAGGUCAAAUACCAUCCCAUCUAUUCAAUAACACGCCUUCCUUGACAUAUAUCGACUUCGGAAACAAUAGCCUAUCAGGUCCUGUGCCGACUGGUCUUGCCUCCCUGACCAUGCUUGAGGUCUUGAGCCUGCAAUUAAAUCAGCUUUCUGGUCCAUUGCAUCAAGCCAUGUACAAUAAAUCCAGGCUGCAAGUCAUGGCACUAGUAGCCAACAACAACCUAACUGGGCCGAUUCCAGAUAAUCAAAGUUUCAGCCUCCCAAUGUUGCGUUACUUUGGCCUCGCACAAAACAACUUUGUUGGUCAGUUUCCACCAGGACUUGCAUCAUGCCAGUACCUGCAAAAAUUAUCUUUGUCUGUCAAUUCUUUUGUGGAUGUUGUACCAACAUGGUUAACUAAAUUGACGCAGCUUGAAGCUCUUUCCUUGGGUGAUAACGACCUUUCUGGCUUGAUCCCAGCUACUCUCAGCAAUCUUAGCAAUCUUAAUUACCUGGACCUCUCUCGCGGUAAUUUGGAAGGAGAAAUUCCACCUGAAGUAGGUCUAAUGCAGGAACUCUCGUAUCUGCAUCUUGAAGCCAAUAACUUAACAGGCAAAAUUCCAGAUUCCCUUGGCAAUUUAACCAAAUUAUCUUUCCUAGUAUUGGCCACAAAUCAAUUAUCCGGCCCUGUACCAACAACACUUGGAAACAUUGCAUCUCUGGGCAUUCUUUCUCUGUUAGGGAACAAUUUAGAGGGCAAUAUUGACUUCUUGUCAGCUCUUUCCAAUUGCGUGCAGCUCCAAGACCUUGCUAUAUCAAGCAAUUUUUUUGUGGGCACCAUCCCUGACCAUGUGGGAAACCUCUCCGCAGGAUUACAAAUUUUCCUUGCAGAUCACAACAAGUUAACUGGAGGUAUUCCAGCUGCCUUCUCAAACUUAAGCAGCCUUGCCAUGAUAGAUCUUUCUAAAAACCUAUUAACCGACGCAAUUCCAGAAUCUAUCACUAUGAUGGAAAAUCUCGCGCAUCUUGAUGUCUCUAGCAAUGACAUGUUAGGCCCUAUCCCAACACAAAUUGGCAUGCUCAGGAGUUUGGAAAGGUUGUAUCUCCAAAGAAACAAAUUGUUUGCCUCUAUACCAACCGGUAUUGUUAAUCUAAGCAGGUUAGAAUACAUCUCGUUAUCCAAUAACCAGUUAAGUUCUCUGCUACCUGCAAACUUAUUCCAGCUUCCUAAACUCAUUGCACUAGAUUUUUCUCACAAUUCCUUCGCUGGUGUAGUACCAUCCGCUGUUGAUCAGCUAAGUCAAGUGGUUGGAAUGGACUUGUCUUUCAACAUUUUGACAGGAGUCAUUCCAGAUUCUUUUGCAAGACUUAAGAUGCUAUCGAACCUCAAUCUAUCACACAAUGAAUUUGAAGGCGCAAUCCCAUACACGUUGGAGCAUCUAGUGAGCUUAGCAACAUUGGACCUCUCCUCCAACAAUCUCUCUGGUACCAUUCCCAUGUUUCUCGCCAACUUUUCCUACUUGACUACCUUGAACCUGUCCUUCAACAAACUAGAAGGCCAGAUACCAGGUGGAGGUGUUUUCUCAAACCUCACAUUGCAAAGUUUGACUGGGAAUGCUGGGCUAUGUGGUUCUCCAAGCCUUGGAUUUUCUCCUUGUCUUGAGAAGCAUCCCUCUGUUAAUAGAAAUUUUCUAAAAAUUCUACUCCCUGCCAUCGGUGUAGCAUUUGGAGCUCUUGGUAUUUUCUUAUAUGUUUCUAUGAGAAGGAGACAUAAAAGAAAGGGUGAGGUUAAAGCUUCAACCGAUCCAUCUGACAUAAUAUGCCACCAGUUAGUUUCCCAUCAUGAGCUCAGUCGUGCCACCAACAACUUCAGCGACAAUAAUUUGUUAGGGUCUGGCAGCUUCGGGAAAGUAUUCAAGGGCCAGCUCAGCAGCGGCCUAGUGGUUGCAGUAAAAGUGCUAGACAUGCAUCAGGAACAAGCGAUUAGAAGUUUUGAUGCUGAGUGUCGAGUGCUGCGCAUGGCGCGGCACCGCAACCUAAUAAAGAUACUCAACACCUGUUCUAACCUAGAUUGGAGAGCAUUAGUGCUUGAGUACAUGCCGAAUGGAUGCUUAGAGGCACUCCUACACCACUCUCAAGGCAUAAGGCACUUCGGGUUCCUUGAGAGGUUGGGUGUCAUGCUCGAUGUGUCCAUGGCAAUGGAAUACUUACACCAUGAGCAUUAUGAUGUAGUCUUGCACUGCGACUUGAAGCCUAGCAAUGUUCUGUUCAAUGAGGACAUGACGGCUCAUGUGGCAGACUUUGGCAUUGCAAGGUUACUACUAGGUGAUGAGGGAUCCAUGAUCUGUGCAAGCAUGCCUGGAACAGUUGGGUUCAUGGCACCAGAGUAUGGAUCUUAUGGGAGAGCAUCGCGGAAGAGUGAUGUGUUCAGCUACGGGAUCAUGCUUCUUGAAGUGUUCACUAGACGGAGACCCACGGAUGCUAUGUUUGUCGGAGAAUUGAGCCUUCGGCAAUGGGUUCAUCAGGCGUUCCCUGUAAAUCUUGUCCAUAUCGUUGAUGGUCAGCUGCUACAAUCCUCCUCCUCCACUUCAAGCUGCAGCUUGGAUGGUCGCUUUCUUGUGCCUUUAUUCGAGAUAGGCUUGCUCUGCUCUACCAGCUCGCCUGACCAAAGAAUGACUAUGGGCGAUGUGGUAGUGAGGCUAAAGAAGAUAAAAAAGGAGUAUAUUGAAUGGACACGAGAGAUGGGGAGGGUGGCACGGUGA
RNAcentral lists this ribosomal RNA (3039 nucleotides) under Triticum aestivum (bread wheat). Its description in RNAcentral is "partial small subunit ribosomal RNA". The record is from RNAcentral. Lineage: Eukaryota; Viridiplantae; Streptophyta; Magnoliopsida; Poales; Poaceae.